Rhea pennata is the source of this 1800-nucleotide long non-coding RNA. RefSeq lists it as uncharacterized. Lineage: Eukaryota; Metazoa; Chordata; Aves; Rheiformes; Rheidae. The record is from RefSeq and is a predicted model, not a curated record. The transcript has 3 exons.
GGCGCAGGGCAAGCGCGCCGGCUGCCGGCAGCAGGCCAGGAACACGACGGGCCCGCGGCAGCACACCAGGAGGAGCGAGUGAGCAGCGCGCCGGAGCGGGGGAAGGGAGAGCGCAGAGCAGCAGAAAGGAAACAGCACGAAGGGGAGCCGCAGCAGCACGCCCAGCAGCGCGGCGCUCAAGGAGCCCCCCGGCAGCGGGGACGAGUUGAAGAUGGCGUCGAUGAGGAACAGGCUGGGCACCCGCAGCGCGACCUCCAGCGCGGCCCGCAGCCGCGGGCCCAGCCGCAGCCACGGCAGCUGCGGAGGGCCCGGGGCCGCCAUCCCCUCGCGAGGCGAGGAGGAAGGCGGCCUGCGGCUCCCGCCUUUAACGAGCGGCGUGUGGGGAGGGGGAAGCCCGGCGGAGCCGCUACUGCCGCGCUCCCGCCGCUCGGCCCGGCCAGGCCCCCCGCCGCGCCGCCGCCGCCUCCAUCUUCCCUCGCUGCGCUCCCUCAGCAGUAAACGUGGGCGCUCAUCCUGCUACGCCUUACUUUCCUGCAGCUUCACUUCCCCUCUUACGUAUCUUGCACGCUGCCAACAACAAAACAACCUGUGCUGUUACAUGGAAGAUAAAUCAGGAUUCAUUCCUCACGUUCGCAAAAACACUGCUUCGUAACAAAGAAACCUUCUCAAAUAAGAACGUUUAUUUGUUCCGUGAUGGCCGUAAAUCUCUGCCAGUCCUUAAGCUGCUACAGUUCCCGCCUGCCUCACGACGCAGUCAGAAGAGCAUGACAUUUUUAGCAAGUCAACGAUUUUGUUUUCUCCAAGGAAAUCUGUAGUCUUCUCUCUAAGCCCAUGUGUGCACUAUAUUUCUUUGUAAAAUUUCCACAUGUCUGCAUUUUCACCUUCUUACCAAUGUUUAGGGGUAGGCAGCCUCAACAAUCAUUUCCUGGCUUUUGAGUGACUAAUUCACUUUGAAAAAAUAAAGAUUUAAUUAGGGAAUGGUUUUGCGGAAUUCCCUGUUUUUUCACCUGUGAUACAGAAGCCCUGUCUUAUACUGUGCAUAACCCUAUACCAAGAUCAUAGGGGAAAAAAGCAUUUUCCUUUGAAAUCCUGUCUCCUUCCUCAUGCAUCUUCACAGAAGCACAGAUUAUAGAGUAUCUAACUUUUGGAAGGCGCAGGCUGACUUGAUUGAAAUAAUUGAUUAAAAAUACAUUAAUGUAAAUGCAAAUGUUUAAUCAAUAUUAGUCCAUCUGAAACAGUGGCAUUUUCCACCCAAUUAGCUGUAUGAAUUAAAAGCAGUUUUCAGGCUGCAAGUGGAAUCAACUUGUAUGCCUUUUGCCAUCUGCCACAAUAUGAUUUGCUGCAAAUGUCUGCCUUUAGCUUCACCUGUCAUAGCUCAGCCUUUUCACGUCUGACUAGUUCACGGCCCUAGAAGUCCUUCUAUUAUUUUCAAAGGAUUUUGGAUCAGGCCCAGCUAUGCUGCAUAUAGACUUUCGUAAGCAAUGCUCCACACUAACCAAACCAGAAACAUUGCCAGAUUGCUAAACAAUUGUAUUACAAAAUCCAUCUACAUGGGCAAAGUACAUUUUUUAAUCACAUGCUAAAAGGCAUAACUCUGACCUAGUAACUAGCCUAAUGCCAAAUAAUAGUUGGAGGUUAGGGGUUUAAAAUGCAGAGUGUGUAUUUCUUUAUAUUACUUGUAUUUGAAGAUGGCUGAAUCGAAGUGAUUCAAUGUUUUCUCAGUACAUUUAUGCCUCAGCUAAAUAUAAAGAUGCUAAAUAUUAAUAAAAGUGAUUUGCAAUGAAAAGCAAUGUAAAUUAA